CGGGUAUAAUUAGGAAGCUCCGGGUGAGAGGUGAGUCAGGAGGAAAUAGAGAGGAGACAUUGUUCGAACUUGCAGUAGAGAAGAGAACCCCACGUAGAUCACAUAACCACACCAAUGAGGAUGGAAAUGGACCAGGAUCACAUGACUGAGAAGAUACUAACCUUCACCCUGGAGAUCAUCUACCUGCUGACCGGAGAGAGAUUUCCUCUUGUGAAGUCA
Molecule: long non-coding RNA, 219 nt
Organism: Rana temporaria (common frog)
Lineage: Eukaryota; Metazoa; Chordata; Amphibia; Anura; Ranidae
Exons: 3
Source: RefSeq, a predicted model, not a curated record